AAGCACUGGGUCCCGAAAGGCAGCUGUCCUGCCCCAGCGCAGAUCCCCUGCAGCCUCCUUUCCUACUGCACAAAUCGACUAGCGCAGGAACCGGGCUCUCUACCCGGGACUGCACGGAGGAGCUAAAGAGAGAAAAGGAGAAACAACAUUCUGGACAACGAACUCCUCCGUCCGACAGGCGGAGGAAGAGGCCGAGCCGGGCGAGAGGGUUGAAGAUCAACUGGAUUAUGUAUUUGGUUCUGGAAUCUCAAAGCAGUCCACAAACAAAUUCUUCCUUAUGUUGUCUGUGUCAGAUUCGAAUAUUUGCCAAAUUUCUAUGAAGAACUGAUUCAAGAAUUGGGAAGGGUCUGAGAUUUUACCCCACUUGGAAGCUAACAAGUUAGUCUGCCACGGUGCCAUCGAUGUUGGCAGGACAUGAGAGUCAUGAAUCAAGGUCAAGAAUUGUUUAUGCUCAUAGCACUAGCUAGAGUACCAGGUGACACCUGUAUGUGCUGUUAUCAGAAUAGUCUUCUGGGUGUAAAUUAAAAAU
This 529-nucleotide small RNA is filed under the name Pongo abelii (Sumatran orangutan). Its description in RNAcentral is "processed transcript". The record is from RNAcentral. Lineage: Eukaryota; Metazoa; Chordata; Mammalia; Primates; Hominidae.